Long non-coding RNA from Homo sapiens (human), 1209 nucleotides. RefSeq lists it as uncharacterized. The record is from RefSeq and is a predicted model, not a curated record. The transcript is spliced from 2 exons. Lineage: Eukaryota; Metazoa; Chordata; Mammalia; Primates; Hominidae.
GCCUAAUAUGAGUCUCUAGCAAGACUCAAUUAAUGAAAGACAUUUUUUAAACCAUAGGGAAGUGAGGGGGAGGGUGGAGAACCCAAGGGAAAGGCGGCUAAUGUAAGGGAAACUACUUCUCCUAAAAGACAUUUCAUAUAAAACAAACCAAAACCAAAACCAAAAAAAACAAAAAACAAAAAAAGGAAAGAAAAAAAGCAAGGACUGCCAAGACUGCCUCUUUCUUAUUCUUCCAAAAGCUCCAGCUCCUGAACUGUGGAUUCUAACCAAGGUGGGUGGAGCACAGCUUGCACUGCAAGGGAAUGAAGCCAAUGCGAAGGCCCAGAGGGAAGGGAAGCGUUGUCAGAGUCUGGUGGAGAAGACACAAGAAUUUGGAGACAGCAGAGGAUACAGAGAGUCAGCCAAAUAAACUGGUUGGAUCACCUGUUCCAGUGCUUCCUACCACCAUACAGAACCUUCAUAAAUACCACUCAAAGAAGGCUCACUAUCAAUACUGUUGGUCCGUUUUCUCUGGAGGAGAAUGUGUCUCUGCUGGCUAAGGCUUUCUUUAUCUCGUCCCACUCUACUACAGCCUGCAGACCCACCCAAGACUGAGGGUGCUCAAAGCUCAGAAGGCAAAGGACUCCUUGCCACUCAACAGUAUCAGCUCAACACCUCAGCCAAGAAGAAUCAGGGAGCACAGGCACACACUCACCAUGCUGAACAGACAGCGAGGACCACAUUUUUAUUAUCUGAUUCCUAUUUGACCAUCUGAUGUGCAAAUUUUACCUAUCAUGUUGCCUUUGCUCCAGAUCUAGGUGAGAUCAGAUGGAAUGGAGGCUCCAUCUGGUCUUCAGGAAGUCUCAAGUUUUCACUGAUCUACAUAAAAUCUCAGAGCAAGGCAAUUUGGAUUGAGUGAGUCCAAACCCAGUGCCUUCUCCUUUGACCCUGGCACAGAUACACUGGCCAAGAGAUGGGUCCAAAGUCAUCCCACUCCAUCAAAGCCAUCACUGUCAGGAGUGAUAACAUAGCCCACAUUUUUCAUAUGUUUUCAAGAUCUCAAAAUUUCUACUGAAUAUUACAGGAGGGCAGGUGCCUUUAUCCGCCAGUACAUCAUCUUCAAUAUCAGUGAUUUUCAAUUUCCUGCUUCCAUUCAAUUGAAUACUUUGUUGGAAAAAAUUACAUGUGAAGUCCACUAUAGAAAAUAAAUUUGUAACAACUGGGGUUGGA